Molecule: ribosomal RNA, 301 nt
Filed under: uncultured bacterium
Lineage: Bacteria
Description: partial 16S ribosomal RNA
Rfam family: Bacterial small subunit ribosomal RNA
Source: RNAcentral
CAGUAACCACGGGAAUACGAAGGGGGCUAGCGUUGUUCGGAUUUACUGGGCGUAAAGCGCACGUAGGCGGACUUUUAAGUCAGGGGUGAAAUCCCGGGGCUCAACCCCGGAACUGCCUUUGAUACUGGAAGUCUUGAGUAUGGUAGAGGUGAGUGGAAUUCCGAGUGUAGAGGUGAAAUUCGUAGAUAUUCGGAGGAACACCAGUGGCGAAGGCGGCUCACUGGACCAUUACUGACGCUGAGGUGCGAAAGCGUGGGGAGCAAACAGGAUUAGAUACCCCUGUAGUCCCUGUCUCUUAUAC